Molecule: ribosomal RNA, 1452 nt
Filed under: Salmonella enterica subsp. enterica serovar Newport
Lineage: Bacteria; Pseudomonadati; Pseudomonadota; Gammaproteobacteria; Enterobacterales; Enterobacteriaceae
Description: bacterial SSU rRNA
Rfam family: Bacterial small subunit ribosomal RNA
Source: RNAcentral
GCUGACGAGUGGCGGACGGGUGAGUAAUGUCUGGGAAACUGCCUGAUGGAGGGGGAUAACUACUGGAAACGGUGGCUAAUACCGCAUAACGUCGCAAGACCAAAGAGGGGGACCUUCGGGCCUCUUGCCAUCAGAUGUGCCCAGAUGGGAUUAGCUAGUUGGUGAGGUAACGGCUCACCAAGGCGACGAUCCCUAGCUGGUCUGAGAGGAUGACCAGCCACACUGGAACUGAGACACGGUCCAGACUCCUACGGGAGGCAGCAGUGGGGAAUAUUGCACAAUGGGCGCAAGCCUGAUGCAGCCAUGCCGCGUGUAUGAAGAAGGCCUUCGGGUUGUAAAGUACUUUCAGCGGGGAGGAAGGUGUUGUGGUUAAUAACCACAGCAAUUGACGUUACCCGCAGAAGAAGCACCGGCUAACUCCGUGCCAGCAGCCGCGGUAAUACGGAGGGUGCAAGCGUUAAUCGGAAUUACUGGGCGUAAAGCGCACGCAGGCGGUCUGUCAAGUCGGAUGUGAAAUCCCCGGGCUCAACCUGGGAACUGCAUUCGAAACUGGCAGGCUUGAGUCUUGUAGAGGGGGGUAGAAUUCCAGGUGUAGCGGUGAAAUGCGUAGAGAUCUGGAGGAAUACCGGUGGCGAAGGCGGCCCCCUGGACAAAGACUGACGCUCAGGUGCGAAAGCGUGGGGAGCAAACAGGAUUAGAUACCCUGGUAGUCCACGCCGUAAACGAUGUCUACUUGGAGGUUGUGCCCUUGAGGCGUGGCUUCCGGAGCUAACGCGUUAAGUAGACCGCCUGGGGAGUACGGCCGCAAGGUUAAAACUCAAAUGAAUUGACGGGGGCCCGCACAAGCGGUGGAGCAUGUGGUUUAAUUCGAUGCAACGCGAAGAACCUUACCUGGUCUUGACAUCCACAGAACUUUCCAGAGAUGGAUUGGUGCCUUCGGGAACUGUGAGACAGGUGCUGCAUGGCUGUCGUCAGCUCGUGUUGUGAAAUGUUGGGUUAAGUCCCGCAACGAGCGCAACCCUUAUCCUUUGUUGCCAGCGGUUAGGCCGGGAACUCAAAGGAGACUGCCAGUGAUAAACUGGAGGAAGGUGGGGAUGACGUCAAGUCAUCAUGGCCCUUACGACCAGGGCUACACACGUGCUACAAUGGCGCAUACAAAGAGAAGCGACCUCGCGAGAGCAAGCGGACCUCAUAAAGUGCGUCGUAGUCCGGAUUGGAGUCUGCAACUCGACUCCAUGAAGUCGGAAUCGCUAGUAAUCGUGGAUCAGAAUGCCACGGUGAAUACGUUCCCGGGCCUUGUACACACCGCCCGUCACACCAUGGGAGUGGGUUGCAAAAGAAGUAGGUAGCUUAACCUUCGGGAGGGCGCUUACCACUUUGUGAUUCAUGACUGGGGUGAAGUCGUAACAAGGUAACCGUAGGGGAACCUGCGGUUGGAUCACCUCCUUACCU